GCUUGCUCCCUGGUGUUAGCGGCGGACGGGUGAGUAACACGUGGGUAACCUGCCUGUAAGACUGGGAUAACUCCGGGAAACCGGGGCUAAUACCGGAUGGUUGUUUGAACCGCAUGGUUCAAACAUAAAAGGUGGCUUCGGCUACCACUUACAGAUGGACCCGCGGCGCAUUAGCUAGUUGGUGAGGUAACGGCUCACCAAGGCAACGAUGCGUAGCCGACCUGAGAGGGUGAUCGGCCACACUGGGACUGAGACACGGCCCAGACUCCUACGGGAGGCAGCAGUAGGGAAUCUUCCGCAAUGGACGAAAGUCUGACGGAGCAACGCCGCGUGAGUGAUGAAGGUUUUCGGAUCGUAAAGCUCUGUUGUUAGGGAAGAACAAGUACCGUUCGAAUAGGGCGGUACCUUGACGGUACCUAACCAGAAAGCCACGGCUAACUACGUGCC
RNAcentral lists this ribosomal RNA (447 nucleotides) under Bacillus subtilis. Its description in RNAcentral is "bacterial SSU rRNA". It matches the Rfam family "Bacterial small subunit ribosomal RNA", at positions 78 to 509 of the family's 1533-position model. Lineage: Bacteria; Bacillati; Bacillota; Bacilli; Caryophanales; Bacillaceae. The record is from RNAcentral.